UUCCUACGGGGGGCAGCAGUAGGGAAUAUUGCUCAAUGGGGGAAACCCUGAAGCAGCAACGCCGCGUGGAGGAUGAAGGUUUUCGGUAUGUAAACUUCUAUCAGCAGGGAAGAAAAUGACGGUACCUGACUAGGAAGCCCCGGCUAACUACGUGCCAGCAGCCGCGGUAAUACGUAGGGGGCAAGCGUUAUCCGGAUUUACUGGGUGUAAAGGGAGCGUAGGCGGUUUAGCAAGUAAGAAGUGAAAGCCCGGGGCUCAACUCCGGGACUGCUUUUGAAACUGUUGAACUAGAU
RNAcentral lists this ribosomal RNA (293 nucleotides) under uncultured bacterium. Its description in RNAcentral is "partial 16S ribosomal RNA". It matches the Rfam family "Bacterial small subunit ribosomal RNA", at positions 336 to 646 of the family's 1533-position model. The record is from RNAcentral.